This 40212-nucleotide long non-coding RNA is filed under the name Sorghum bicolor (sorghum). RNAcentral describes it as "long non-coding RNA (SBIC_LNC011436)". Lineage: Eukaryota; Viridiplantae; Streptophyta; Magnoliopsida; Poales; Poaceae. The record is from RNAcentral.
GUAUAAUAUGCAGCCAUCUUCUAUCUCGUCUCAGCAAGAUUUAUUUAUGUUUUUUGUUAGCAUCACGUCUCAUCAAGGAUUGCCAAGUCUGAUAUGAUGUGCACGCACUUUCUUCGACAAUCUCACUGUUUAAUAACGUUCAUGCAUGCCUUGUGUAACGUAGAUGACAUGGCCAAGAACUCCCACCUCAAGGACUUGCAGGCGCUUGGCCCCUUGCAAGUCCUCCGCGCCGACCUCGACGAAGAAGGCAGCUUCGACGAGGCCGUUGCCUGCUGCGACUACGCCUUCCUCGUCGCCGCUCCGAUCAACCUCGCCUCAGGGGAGGAUCCAGAGGUGCGUGCACAACUCGUUUGAAUUCAGUAAUGAAUAGCCCGUCGCUUCAUCGUGUGAUGGAUGGAUGGACGCCACGAGCGGCACACGCAGCUCUGAGUGCUAGCUAUAGCUGUUUGAUUAAUUUCUCGGCGAUUUCCUUCAGAAAGAGCUGAUCGAGCCUGCCGUCCGGGGGACGCUGAACGUGAUGAGGUCGUGCGUGAAGGCCGCCACGGUGCGGCGCGUGGUCCUCACCUCGUCGGCGGCCGCGGUGUACAUGAGGCCGGAUCUGCGAGGCGGCGACGACGGGCAUGUCCUGGACGACGAGUCCUGGUCCGACGUCGAGUACCUCAGAGCCAACAAGCCGCCGACCUGGGGGUACAGCGCGUCCAAGGUGCUCGCGGAGAAGGGGCGACCAGGUUCGCGGAGGAGCACGGCGUCAGCCUCGUCACCGUCUGCCCCGUCAUCACCGUCGGCGCCGCGCCGGCGCCGACCACCCGCACCUGCAUCCCUUACUGCCUCUCACUUCUAUCAGGCGACAAGGCAUCGCUGGGCGUGCUCAAAGUACUCGAGGAGGUCUCCGGCGGGGUGCAGCUGGUCCACAUCGACGACCUCUGCCGCGCCGAGCUGUUCGUCGCCGAGGAGGCCGCCGCCGAGGGGAGGUACAACUGCUGCAGCCACAACACGACCGUCGUCGAGCUGGCGCGUUUCCUGGCACACAAGUACCCGCAAUACGACGUAAAACGGAAUCUGCAGUAAGGAUAUAGAUAUUGUUCGCACCCAGAGCUAACUCUGAAUUUUAAUACUGUAUUAUUCUGGCAUUAGUGCUGCAAUGGUCAGUUGGUCACGGCGAGUGAAUGAAGUGACACAGUAUGUAUGCUCCUGCGUGUCAGCACCUACGAUCAGGAUGAGCUCCUGGAGAAGCCGAGGGCCUGCAUUUUGUCGGCGAAGCUGGCCAGGGAAGGGUUCCAGUUCAAGCACAACACCCUGGAUGAGAUCUACGACAAUGUCAUCGAGUACGGCAAGGCCUUGGGUAUUCUGCCCAACUGAUGAGUCAUGAGACACACACAUGACGUUUGCAUCGUCGAUCGCUCCAAGGACCACGGCGCGAAGCAUUUUGAUUUUCACAUUUUCGGGGCUGUCUGUAUGGAGCAUGUGCAUGCUACUACUUGAAUGUUCAAUAGCAAAUCGACAGGAGCAAUGUACAAAACACACCUCGUGGUAUUGUGUUGGUCAUCAGUCGGUUCAAAAAAUUGAAAGAAGGUUGGCUGAAUAAUGUCCUCCAUUGCUAUUGGUUGUACUUAUAACAGCAGUGUUAAUUUCUUAUCCAGCUAAGUUUGCCGGUUUAUUUCUUACUGUAUGCAGCAAGCAAACAUUCGCUGAUUUAUCAGCAGAACCGUCUCAGUUUCUACUCCCUGCUAGCUGCUGAACGACAGUAGGAUGCCCAAACGAGACACACUUAGGAAGCACCAUCUGCCAAUCACAUAGCAUUACAUAUUGUGUCUGAAUGUGCUGCUGAAAUAUCAUAGUAGUGCAUCGGCAGUGUUUAAUUUCUUCUCAGAUAGCUACUCUACAGUACAUUCCAACCAACAAGCAGAGUAACAGAUGUUUUUCUCCUGAACAUCCGUGGUUGGACAGUUGAGGGCUUGAGGCUUCAGUACUUCGGUGCUGGCUUCUGGGUUGGCAGAAGUGCAAAUCUUUUCUUCAACAGGUACCUCUGGCGAGAGUACUUGUCAUCUGGUGAGAAGCGAGCUGCAGCACAAGGAAAACAUUUCAGUAAUUAAUGUUGAGAGAAAGAGCACUCGAGUUAUUGAACAAUCAAAACCGCAAAUGCAACCAUGAAAAAGAACAUAUUCCACAUGUCUCAAUUCUGCAGGCUACAUAUUUGUUUGGUUAUAUACAUCGACAGUACAAGCACUCACAUUUAGUCCAAUAAUACAACAGAGUGAAGCUUUAGUCUGCCAUACAUGCUCAUGCUAAGGCCAUUCAUGACCGGUUAGAAUUCUAAAUCAUACACGGAAGUCAGGCAAUGUCAUUGAUCAUAUAAAAGCAAAGGGAAUUGUCACUGGAAAAAGAAAAAAAUAUUAUCUGCAGUUUUGAUAGGUGCCAUUACUCUUUACUCAGAUCCUCAUUUAUCUGCUUAAAAUACUCAGAAUCCAAACUCAGAAGAAAUUGAAGAUACAACGAUCAGAUAAAUGACACAAAUCAGGUGGGGCUCCAAUUAGACAGACAUGACUGCAUCCUUCAACCCAACAAAAGAAAGCUACCCAACUAUUACACGUUGACAGGUAAGUAACAUAACAGUGACAAAGGAGUAACUCCAGUGAACAAAAGCGGCGUACCCGGGUGAGCAGACUGCGUUGGUACCCCAAGAGGCGACUCCUUCUGCAAAGCAAGAAGAAAGAUACACAAAUUAGCAUUGGCUAACACCCCAAAAUCAUCAGCUAUUCAGUGAAGAUUAAGCACAAGCUCAUACAACCUUGGUGGUGUAAACCUUGUCUCCCUUCUCGUUGAUGUAGUACUGGAGAUACAUCUUGAAUCCACGAGCAGGGAUGAGCCCUGAUAAAUCUAACAUGAAUAAAGAGGAAUCACUUACUAUAUCACCAAUACUCACAGCAAUCAAGCAGGAGAGCCUGGGGCAGGUAGCGAAGUUUUCUUUAUCGAGUUUGGUAAUGACAGUAUUAAAAUGCAAGGAUGUAGAAAGACCAACUAUAAUUCUUAAACAGACCCUCAACCACAAAGAUGAAUAAACAAGCAAGUCCCCAGGAAUUUGAGAAGAUCAGAAUAAGUACUAUUGCAUGAAGGCUUUGAGUUUCCUUAUUAAUCCUACCUACAAAGUAAUUUCUCCAAUAUCCUCAAAUUGGUACACUCUUCUCUCUCUCCUCCUUUUUUAUUUUUUUUAUUUACCAUGAUAAGUAGCCUAAUCUCAGCCUAGAAGCUUCACCAACGUCCCAUACUCAUUAACAGAAUCGCUUAAAAGCUCAUUGAUACAAGCAAAACACUACAAGUUGACACCAUCCUUCCAUUCCAUUCGUUUGCUGUUGUAUGAUUCUACAACAUGAAUGGAAUGCAUGAUGAUUCUACUCACAGAGUAUAAUAUUGCUGCUACAGGAUAUAGGAACUAGAAUAUACAGUUGCAGACUAUAAGUCUUCCAGAUAUGCAUCAUUUCAACUUGAUCUUGUCAUCAGUUAAAAAGAACACGACAAUACAGUGACAGGUAUGCAUCUAGGCAAUCCUGAAAAUGCGCAUGGAGCAAAUUCGCAUCCAGAAAUGUGGCCCUUCCCAGCAAACAUACAUAGCUCGACAUCUCCUGACUCGCUGCUACAGAGUUCAAAUCUUGUGAAUCAGGGCUGGGGAUUGGGGCUCACCUUGGGAGGACCGGAGCGGGGUUGGGGAAAGGGCAGUCACCGGACGAGGGUGUCGAUGUGCGAGGUGCCGAACAGCCGACGUCGUGCGUGGGGGUGGCGGCGCGGUGUACUAGCUGCGUUGCGUGCGGCUGGGUGUGUGGGCGUGGCCGACUCGGGGCGUUGGACUGGGAGAGAAUGCCUAGGUCAUACCGUGGGCUGGGCCGGCUGUGGCUGUUUCGUGGGCUGAAUUCAUAUACUCCCUCCAUCCCAAAUUGUAACCAUCCUAAAUUAUAAAAAUCUUAGAAAGUUAAAGCAUUUUCAUGUUUGACCAAAUUUAUAGAGAAAAAUACUAAGAUUUGUAACGUAAAGUAAGUAUAUUAUAAAAAUAUAAUUAAGAAAGAAUCUAAUGAUACUUAGUUGGUAUCAUAAUAAUAAUUAUUUUAUCAUAUAAAUUUGGUCAAACUUAUAAAAAUUUGACUCUACAAAAUUUUUGUAACGAUGGUCCCUCCCAUAAAUAUGUAAACGGUAACGGUACGCACUUUUUCGUUUCCAAUUCCAACACACACUGCACAGUCCACGGUGCACGCGAGCUCUCCAUGGGCCGGGUAGGGUCACGCUAGCUGCAAUGGGCCAGAUGGAGUUUGCCGGCAGAUCGAUAAGGGACUCGAAUCGGAUCGGCCAUCAAAGUCGGGACUCCCUGGUUUAUUAGGUGCCGUGCCGAGGUGCCCCUCUGUGUUCUGAUAAUUAUUAAUAAAUAAACAAACUCUCCUCUGGACUACAUACAAUCGGUUAAUCUUUAGCUUGCAAAAAUUGCGUAGCAUCACCACCCUUUCCUCGGCGUAUAUCGCAACCGCAGCAGGCACGUCCUUCCUUCUGCACAGGUUCUAAUUUCAUGUUGUACUACUAUAUUCAAUUUCAAUUUCUGUAUAUAGUAUAUUUAAAGAAUUUUCACAUGAUGACAUGACCCAACCCCUGGGGUUUUGACUAUGUACGGACUCCAUGAAUUUGCCAUGAGUUUAUAAACUCUCUCACCAUAUAUAGGAUCAAUUAUAUUACCAGAUGGUUUGUGCUAACUUGUGACCGAUGUGAUCACCUUUGUAGAUAUAUAUACAUGAGAACAUAUAUAUAAAUCUUUCCUUCUUGUUCGUGUGUGUGUAUAGAUACAGGUACGGUAACCGCUAGCAUACCCGACAACGCGUACAAGUCGUCAAUCCACGAUGGAUGUGCGCCGGCAGAACAUUACACAGGCAGCAGCGGGCAAGACGGGCAAGAGAUCCAGUACCAUUACACCAGCCUAAAAGGGUCCAAGACGACUGGCAUUCAAGAUCCGCCGGCGAGGGUUCACCUUCGAGGGAACGCCGAGCCUGCUCAUCAGCGACCGCUACGGCGUCUGGUCCGUCACCCACCGGCGCUACAUCCGCAAGACGAACCACCACCGCUUCCAUGACCUGAAAAAGCAUCUUGAACCCAUCAGAAGAGAAUACGUGGACCUGGUACGCAAGGUCAAGAUAAACCAGUGGCCAGAGUACACGCAAGACGAGGAGCUCAGGUCCUUGCGCCACAAGCUGGCCGACUUCUACUGGGCCGUCAUGCCAAAGGAGGUGAAGGCGAGCAUCGUGCUCUUCUACCGUCACCGACGGCAGCAGCGCCUAAACCGCUUCACUGCCGCAGUGGUGCUCGUGGCUCUGCAAGGUUUCGUGCUGCUCAGUCUGGUGCUCAUGGGAUUCUACAGCCUAUGGGUCAGCCUGUUCCUGGGCUUGGGUUACCUUGGUGUGGUGUUCCAGAUAGAUAAGGCCGGUGUGGAAUAUGGUCUCUGAUGAUCCGUUUCGUUCUCUAUAGUCUGCAAAAAUCACUUUGGGUGCCAUGGAUUGAUAUGAUAUUGCACCCUUCUUGACAAUAUAUGUGUUGUCAGGAGAUGUUAGGUAAAGCCAGGACAGCAACUCUCAUGGAUUGAUACCUGAUGGCAAUCCUUGACGUUGGCUGUUAAAGGAAGAUGUUUUGCAUCCAUGUCACGAAACCGUCAGAACCUAUUGUCAAUCUAUUUUUGUCUACGAACCAAACAAGAAAAAUUACAACCUUGCCUUAUGAUUUUAUACUUGCCAAGUAAUAAGGUAGGUACAAAUGGCAUGGUCAUAAUAAAACACACGUCACGCUACCAACUUCACAAACACAGCUCGGAAGGACAAAAGAAGCAACAACAUAGUAUUGAAAUGCCACGAUCAUACAUUAGCCAUUUUAUGAACAAAUUAAAUGGUUUGUGCUCUGAUAUAGUGAUAUAGAAAACCAGAGACAUAGGACUGACCUUGGUUCAUUGUCGGUCACACAAUACUUCAUGCUUGUUGCACAUAUACAACUACCGCCAUGGGAUAAUGUCUUUUUCCUGCAUAAGAGGGGAGGGGGAGGUUCACAAUAUACCAUGAUAGCUCAUCACUAGCAGAUUCUUUAUGUUCAAGGGCAAUGUGUACAUAUAACCCUACACUGAUAGAACUGGUAAAGAUUACUCUGUGUAUACAAAUGCAGAAAAAUAUAAAAAUGUAUAACACUAAAGUCACAAUACAUGAUUAAUGCAACAACACGUGGAUUGACAAUCUCAGCUAGCUCUGAAACUUUGUGGAAUUGAGGCACUUUGUGACUACACUGGACUACACCAUUCUGGCUGAGUCCUCCGUCAAACCUAUGUACACAUUUAAAUGUAUUUUGGAGGAAGACAGACCAAUUAACAUAUAGCACAAUAAAAUUGCUCAAUAAUACCUAUUCUGUAAAGCAGCAGACUGAGGGAAGACAGGAUAUGGAUAAGAUGAUAACCGAUACGGACAGCCAUCGUACAUAAUAUUUGAAAUAUGUUUAUGGUUAUAUGCAACACAUGAAAAGAUAUAAUCGCAAACAUAAUUUCUUUCUAAUAAUACACAGCCAUCCUACAUAUUCUCAAGAAUAAAAACAGACAUGAAUAGCAGAUUGGUUACAUGCCUGUUUGGUUGCCCUGAUAUACUCGUGCUUGGCUCCUGGGAUGCAGUUUCACAGUGUUUGGUUCCCUGCACUCAUUGCUGGGCCUGGCCCUGGGCAUGCAACCGAGGCACUGGAGCCUGGCUCCCAAAAAACGGAUUUGGAAUCCGUUUUCUCAUGGCCUGGCUCGCGGGCGGCGAUGGCGUAGUCAUGCGAACCAAACAAACAAUGGUUGCACACCCGUAGCCUGGUCAGCGGGAGCCAGGUGCAGUGCAGGAACACUGAGAAGAGAACCAAACAGACCAUAUACCUGUUUUUUGGGAGGUUUUACACUGACUUAGUCCCGCUUUUGGUGUUCUUAAUAGUUACAUGUGUGGAAAAUGAACAGACCAAUUAACACUGACUUAGCACAAUAAACAGACCAAAAGAGGAGGUUUUACACUGACUUAGUCCCGCUUUUGGUGUUCUUAAUAGUUACGUGUGUGGAAAAUGAAUUUAGAAAAACAGAAUGUAAUAUACAGUGAGCAACACUUCAACAGAAAGUCCAACAGGGGGGAAAUGAAUUUUGCUAAUUUAAUAUUGCAGUAAAUUCAAAGCAGAAACACAGUGAUAAAAGAAGACAGAAAUAGACUUUUUUUCCAUCUCAAGACCAUCCAGAGAUUCCAUUUAUAAGAAGUCACACCAGAGAUGAAAUCAGUUAUGCUUCCUUAAAUAAAACAAAAUGUCAAUAACAUAUGCAGGCAUGAAGUGGGGAAUGUGUGAGGCACAGGAUUGACUUUAGUGAACUUUAUGAACCAUCCCAUGUAGUAAGGAUGAUCAGCAGUGUGAUACUUAGUUCGGGAACUAUGGGCCACAGAAUUUAAUAGAGUCUUUUUUGUUCAAAGUUAGGCUUCGACAUUAGAACCCAUCUCUCUGGAAUCUAGCCUUCCAAGCACCGACCCUGUACAAAAAGCAGUUUGUGAACUCAUGCAGGUAGUCUGAAGAGGAUCGAUAGCAAGCCCAACAACAACCUCACCUAUUCAUCAAGCAGAACAAGGUAUAUACCUAUGGAUCUUCAGAAGUUUCUCAUUGGCGACAUACUAGAGAAUCUAACCAUACUUGUCCUGUGGGCGGAUGGACCAAACACAUGCACAUGAGCCUAAAUUUAUUUGUGUGAUUGACGCUUGUUUCACCAAACCUCAUCAGGCAUGUCAGGGUUAGGACUUAGGACAGGAUCAAGCGAGUCAAUCACUAGCACUGCAGGAACCAAAUCAGAGGGCGGAAAACUAGACCUCAGAGGGAGAGGGGUUGGGCUUUGGGCGGCGGCCAGAUGAGCCCAGAGGCCCUCCUCUUCCGAUUCGUUCCAGAACCAUCCCAGGCCGCCACCAGCCCACCGCAACAAGAGAAAGCCGCCGCCCGGCGGCGGCGAGCAAUUGGGCAUGGCCAUGCCGCAAUGGGGAUGCUGUGGUGUUCCUUUUGCGAUGUGGCGGAGGUAGGCGGCGUGGGCGAGGGCCGAGGGCGGUGGCGAUGGUGAAUGGUGAAUUGGUGAUGGCCUGAUGGGACCGGACCACGGAUCCUGUGUGAUUCUGUGGUCCGGUUCAGCCCAACAACACCAAAGCUUCAGUGGAUAGCGCUCGGGGCCAAGUGGAUCUCAGGUGGGUGGUGGUCUCUCUCAGACUAAAGGCGUGUUUGAUUAUGAGUGUUAAAGUUUAAUAUAGUAUUUUUUGUUUUAUUUGGUAAUUAAUAUCUAAUUCUAAAUUAAUUAAGUUUAAAAGAUUCGUCUCACAAAUUAUUCUCUAACUGUGUUUUAAAUUUUAUAAAUGAUUUAUUUUUUGUACUUCAUGUGCUAAUGAUAAAUCUUUUAAGUCUAAUUAGCUUAUAAUUAGCCAUAACUGCUACAGUAACUCAUAUGUGCUAAUGAUAAAUUAGUUAGAUUUAAUAAAUUUGUCGAGCUAUAUAAUUUAUAUUUUUAUUAGUAUGUAGAUAUUCCUUCCAACAUCACCGGUGGUCGUCGGUAGUGGUUGGCCUGGUUUAUCCCGGCCGACGGUUACCGGUAGUACGCGGUAGCGAUGUAUACAAUGAAAGGCGGUUCCGCCCUUCCAUGACUGGCUGACCGGACGUUGCCCGCUACCCUGCCAAGCCCAAGCCCAACGAGUCCGCCGGUUCCGUGGCUAGGCAACACGUCAGCCGGUGUUGGUUCGCGGCGGCCGAGGCAACAUGGCAACGAAGCCGUGAAGCGGAGCCGCACGGCGUGCACCAUGCCUUGGCCGUCGAAGAGGUGGUGCCCCGGCCGCGGCGCGUGGAGCGAGGCUCGAGCGCGCGCACGUAGCUGCCGGCGAUCUGGACGGCCCGGUCUGCAGUCCGCAGGAGCGGGAGCGGGAGCGGGUGCGCGCGCUCGAAGACGCCCGCCACGAGCCGGGAUUCUUCCCGUGUCGUCGGAUAUUUAUUUUCUGCGCGAGACUGUUUUCACGUGGCGGAAGCACCUGUCGAUGAUUUCCCGCGCCGAGGCUGCUGGUUUCCCGCUCAGAGGCCUAUGGUUUCUCAGGCAUUUCCAGGCGUUAGCUUUUCACGCGAUAGAUGUGGAUGAGACCUGCUGCACCCCCACUUGCAGGAUUUCCUCAGGAUGUACGUAUAUUUUCUUUUUUAUUUUUCUUUUCUUUUCUUUUUAUUUUAUUUUCUUGUUGUCUUCCUCCUACUACGUGCGGUGUAGGUAAGUAGUAUGUUUUAUUUUUAUUUUUAUUUAUUGAUCAUUUGUUUUUCUUAUCUUAUCUUUUUUGUUUCUAUUUUUCCAUUUUCCAUUCUUUUCUUUUAUUUUUUUAUUUUUUAUUUUUGUACUUAUUUUUUAUUUAUAUUUCUUUUUAUUUUUGCGUCUACCUUCACGUAGGAGUAUGUUAGUUUCUUUUUUUCUUAUUCUUUUGAUUUCUUUUUCUUUUCUAUCUUUUCUUUUUGGUACUUCAUUUUUUAUUUAUUUAUUUUGUUUUCAUGUGUUUUUAUUAAUAUUUUUAUGUUUCUCUUAUUUUUUAUUUUAUUUUAUUUGCUUUUCUUUUUUAUUUUUUUCUUUAAUGUUUUUAAUGUUCAUGUAGUAUAUAUUUGAUAUUCUAUGAUUUUUUUAAUGUUUAUGUGUUAUACAUGUGAUUUCUGUGAUACUUUUUAAUGUUUUCGUAGUAUACAUGGGAUGUUCUACAAUAUUCUUUUUAUGUUUACACAGUAUACAUAUAAUGUUAUAUGACUAAUUUUGUGAUGUUCACGUAAUAUAUAUGCGAUGUUCUAUAAUACAUUUAGCGAUGUUCUAUAAUAUAUUUAGUGAUGUUCUAUGGUGUAUUUAGUGAUGUUCUAUAGUCUAAUUUAGGAUGUUUGAAAAGUAUCCUUAUGAUAUUCUUUUUAACUUUUUACUAUUAUGUUUUUAACUUUUUUUAUAUUUUUAUUUAUUUUAUAUUUUUUGUUUUUACUAUACUUAAUUAUUUUAUUUUUGUGAUAUACUUUGUGACGCUCUCGUGGUAUAUAAGUGGUAUUUUAUGAUGUUCUCGUAGUAUACAUAUUAUGUUUUAUGGUGUAUUUAGUGAUGUUCACGUAAUAUAUACGCAAUGUUCUAUAAUAUUUUUUAGUGAUGUUCUAUGAUAUAUUUAGCCAUAUUCACCUAGUAUAUAUGUGAUGUAUAUCUAAAUAUUUUUAGGAUGUUUGAAAGAUGUUCUUUGAAAAAUUUAUCUAUUAUGUAUUUUUAUUUAUCUUUGCUUAUGUUGUGCUCUAGAUUUUUAUUAUAUUUAUUAUAUUAUGUAUUUAUUUAUUAAAUUUAUGAUAACAACUCCAUGAAUCUAAAACUAGAAUAUUGUUCUUCUAAUUUGAGAGUAAUCUUCUUAUAAAGAACAUUAUUCUCUAAACUUAGAACAUUGUCUCUGCUCAAGAAAAUAAAAAAUAAGAUAAAUAUUCGUUAACAAAAUUUUAUUUAAAUAUAUCUAUGUAGGAUCUUGUUUUGAAGAUUUUAUUAUAAAAAUUUAAUCGUAUAAUUAAAAUUUAAUUUAAAGUUUUAGUUUAGGAGUUACAAUUUUUUUAAUCUGUUAAAAGUCACAACACUUAAUAUGGAUAAGGUGGGCCAACGUGAUUGGCCAGCCUGGGCAGGGCAUGCCUCCAUGUGCCUUCUGCUCCCGAAAUUCCAGCGCUGCUCGCUGACACAUUAGACUUUUAACGCAGACAGUGAACGAGAAGGCGGGAAGUUAGAGCGGGAAAGUACCCAACGACGGUUUCGGUCUGAACGGCCGGAUUGGAAGAGCCCCCAGUGCUUCCGCCACGUGAAAACAGUCUCGCGUAGGAAAUACUGACGGAAAACAUCGGACGACAGUUCCAUCCGAACGUUCGGACGGGAAGAAUUCCGGAGAAAGAGAGCCAACAUGAUGUGCCACACGGGGGAGGCAGAUGCAGAGCAUAUCCUGGCUCAAUUUUUCUAGCGACGGACAAGGACGGGAUGGACCGCAGGCUAAUUUAGAAUCCAGAUUAUACAACAUGUUGGGACCUACUGUUGGACCCUACGGCAGAAAUAAUAUACUCUCUCCGUCUCAAACUAUAAGUCAUUACAAGAAUUUUGGAGAGUCAAAGUUUUUUAAGUUUGAAUAAAUUUAUAUAACAAAAUGAUAAUAUUUUUGAUACCAACCAAGUAUCAUUAGAUUCUUUGUUAGUUAUAUUUUCAUAGUGUGCCUAUUUUAUGAUAUAAAUUUUUAUAUUUCUCUCUAUAUUUUUAGUCAAACUUAAAAAUAUUUUGACUCUUCAAGAUUUUUGGAAUGACAUAAUUUGGAACGGAUAGAGUAUUUUUAGUUGCUCUAUCACACGAUGACGUGCGAGAUACAACUAGGUUCGACCGUUCAGUCCAAAGUGUCCGCCACCCGCCCACCCGGCCACCCCCCACCCACACCAUUACUUGAUUUAUUUAUUAUUUUUUUACCACUAGUAGUACUGAUGCACCGUACUUUUUGAUUUGAUGAAGCAAGGUAUACGUGCUAUUACAUAAAGUACUGCUAACUGAUUUAUUUUGAAUGACUGACAGAUUUGGCUGAUAAGCUAAAAUAAACAAGGUGUUCGUCGGGUAUCAUCCACUGCUGACGAGUCGAUGAGGCUUCCUGUCCUCCCAAAAUAAUCUCGCCCCCAAACUAUCUGUCCUAGCAAACUACUGUGUCUACUAAUUUCAUCAAUCAUCAAGCUGCAGGACUGACCCACAGUCACCGGCAAAAGCUUCAUCGACGACGAGGGUGCGUGCGUUGGUGGGCGCCGGCGAUGUCGUCGUCUGCGCGCAACACGACGAAGCUGAAGACGGCGUGCGUGACCGGAGGAAAUGGCUACAUCGGCUCCGCGCUCAUUAAGAUGCUGCUGGAGGAAGGCUACGCCGUGAAGACGACGGUCAGGAACCCCGGUUCGGUUCUCCCUUCUCCCGGCCCUCUUCUCGGUUCAGUGUUUCGUGGUUGUUGCAAUUCCGCGCGGGAUUGCAGCUGUGCAACAGAUAAACGGCAUCCUGAGAGCUUCUCAGAUUGCAUAAUUAAAAAAUAGCACAAGAAUUUCAACGAUUUUAUUUUGUUACUGAAUUCUGAUUUGAUCGUUCAAGUUCAACAGCAAGCAAGCAAUCCUCUAGCUAGCUAGGCGCACAUCUGCUUUUCCAGUUGAUGUUGCGGAUAGACGGUGGUUGUGAUGUGAUUGUGAUUUGUGAAUCCCACCCACCCAUGCUGUUGUCCUGACUCCUAAGAAUCGACCAUGAUUGGUUUCUGAAACCCUACCAGAUGACAUGGAGAAGAACUCCCAUCUCAAGGGCUUGCAGGAGCUUGGACCGCUGACGGUCCUCCGCGCCGACAUGGACGAAGAAGGCAGCUUGGACGACGCCGUUGCCGGCUGCGAUUACGCCUUCCUCGUUGCCGCCCCGGUGAACCUCUGGGCGCAGGAUCCAGAGGUGCGCAAACAUCGUCACCACUCACCACACACACCAUGCACGAGCCGUCGUCGUUGUCACAUAAUCAUCACUCACUCUCACUCAAGUUUAGUUGUCUCUGGACUUGCUCAAUCGAUGCCUCCUUUUCACUCCAUCACUUGGGGUGGUUUCAGAGGAAAAAAAAAGAACUGAUUUUUAGCUUGCUUGCCGAUGCACGAUCGCAGAAACAGCAGAUCGAGCCGUCUGUCCGAGGAACGCUGAACGCAGUGAGGUCGUGCGUGAAGGCCGGGACGGUGCGGCGCGUGAUCCUGACCUCGUCGGCGGCCGGAGUCUACAUCAGGCCGGACCUGCAAGGCGACGGGCACGCGCUGGACGAGGACUCCUGGUCCGACGUCGACUUCCUCAGAGCAAACAAGCCGCCGACCUGGGUCCGCCCCGCCGUCCGAUCGAUGAUUCUGCACCCAACCCAUUCCUUUUUUUCUUUUUUGACACCCAUUCUCCAUCGUUACAUGCACGUAUGGUUUUGAUGAUAAGCUGUGGAUUGCAUGCUUUGCUUGCAGGGAUACUGCGUGUCGAAGGUGCUCCUGGAGAAGGCGGCGUGCAGGUUCGCGGAGGAGCACGGCAUCAGCCUCGUCACCGUCUGCCCCGUCCUCACCGUCGGCGCCGCGCCGGCACCCAAGGUCCGCACCAGCAUCGUCGACAGCCUCUCCAUGCUGUCUGGUGAGUGAGUGAGCAGUCAGAGAUCCUGCUAGCGCCAGACUACUGGAUUCUCCGCGCUGUUAAAAACAGAGAGAGAGAAACAAUCGAGUUCGUGUGAAUGUGAAUGUGAUCGAUCGAUUGCGUGAUCUUCAGGCGACGAGGCCGGGCUCGCCGUGCUCAGAGGCAUCGAGACGACCUCCGGCGCUCUGCAGCUGGUCCACAUCGACGACCUCUGCCGCGCCGAGCUGUUCCUGGCAGAGGAGGCGGCGGCCGGCGGGAGGUACAUCUGCUGCAGCCUCAACACGACCGUCGUCGAGCUCGCGCGUUUCCUGGCACACAAGUACCCGCAGUACCGCGUGAAGACAAAUUUGUAAGCAAUAGCCAGCCUCACUUCUGCGCCGUCCAAAUCUUAUACUCCUUCCAUCCUUUAAGCUAUUUCAAGAAUUACAGAGAAUCAAAACAUUUGAUCAAAUUUGAAAUUCUUUGACUCUUCAAAAAUCUUGAAAUGACUUAUAAUUUGGGAGGAAAAUUUGAGAUGGAGGGAGUAGAUGUUUUGCAGCUCUGAUUUUUGACACUUUAUUUGCAGCGACGACGAUGAGCAUCUCCUGGAGAGGCCGAGAGUGAUCAUGUCGUCGGAGAAGCUGGUCCGGGAAGGGUUUGAGUACAGGCACAACACGCUGGAUGAGAUAUACGACAACGUGGUCGAGUACGGCAAGGCAUUAGGAAUUCUGCCCUACUGAUUUAAACUAGUACAAGCCAUGUCAGUAAUAAUUCAAGCUCGAGUUUGAAAUGUCUCUCUUCCACAGAUCGACAUUAGCAGAUUUUUAUUUCCAGAUCGCUGGUCGUCAUGCAUGCAUGACUGCUGGCGCGACCAGGUGUGCCAGAGCCUGAGAAGUGGUUUGAUGACCCAAUGUGAAAUUGCAAUUUGCUACAAAAGACUCGUAUAUUGUACUCGAUCAUAUCCUACAAGAGUUGAGUUUCGUCGUCUCCAGACACAUGUGCACAACGUUGAUACGGUUAGCAGCUUCGUUUGAUUUUUCAGCACACCCUGCCAUCUUGGCACCUUGGGCCAUGUUUAGUUCUCCAAAACCUAAAAACUUUUUAAAAUUUACAAUCACAUCGAAUCUUGUGGAACAUAUAUAAAACAUUAAAUAUAAAUAAAAAUAAAAUUAAUUACAUAUUUUGUCAAUAAAUUAUGAAAUGAAUUUUUUGAUUCUAAUUAAUCUAUAAUUGAUCACUAAUUACUAAAUAUAAACGAAAGUGCUAUAUUAGUGAAAUUCUAAAAAAAUUGAAUAUAAACGAGUCCCUAUAGGACUAGAAGUACGGUAUAGAAUAACGUACAAAUCUGUCCUUGUACCCGGUCAACCCAGCUAUUAAUUUACUAUAUAUACACUGACUUGACAAAUGGUCUCGUGUGUGUAAACGGAACUAGUCAAGCUCGAAAAAAAAGCUCUGCUACGCCGUUUCGCGGCCAGCCUCCGACGACCAUUAUAACGGCCGGAGAUGGCCGGGAAAUUCCACAGCAACCUUCCGUGUUGGAAUUGGCUUAUUUUAAUUUGAUUAAAAUCAAAUAAAUCUUAAAGUUCAUACUAAGGCCUGGUUUAGAUCUAAAUUCUUUUGGAUUUUAACACCGUAACACUUUCGUUUGUAUUUAUCUAUUAUUAUUAUCCAACCAAUGGACUAACUAGACUCAAAAGAUUUGUCUCGUACAUUAUAGACAAAUUGUAUAAUUAGUUAUUUUUUAUCUAUAUUUAAUGCUCUAUGCAUAUGCCGUAAGAUUCGAUACGACGGAGAAUCCUGAAAAGCUUUUGGAUUUCAGAUGUAACUAAACAAGGCCUAAAUGUUGGAUGCAUUAAACUGUAAAGGUGACUAUAUAGAAGAGAGGUGAAUUUCUCUAUGAAAUUGGCCUCUAUCCCAGAUCCAACCCCAAAACUCCAAAACAGCAAGAAAGGCUCAAUUCAAGUCAGAUAAUAGCUAGAUGAACCCUAAGUAACACCAAGACCAUAACUGAUCCAAGUGAGAACGAAUCGAAUGAAAAACCAGCAGAAACAACUCAACAGCCCGUCACACCGGACCUUUUUGGUAGCACUGGAUGAACAAAAAAAAAGAUAAUGGCAGUGAGCCAUUGAUGACAAUGCUACAAUAGAAAACCAGAUAAUGGUAGUGAGCCAUUGAUGACAAUGCUACAAUAGAAAACCAGCUCAGCUAUAUCUAUCUACACCUAAUAAAUACCGGAGGUUAUCGUCUGCAUGCCCCACUGCUCACCCCGCUCCCCUCUCAUACGCUUAUCGGGCUCGAGCAAAGAAGUCUCCCAGUCUCCCAUGUAGAGAUGUCCAACGGGCCAUGCCAGGCCGGCCCAACAUCGGGCCGUGCCGUGCCGGACCGUGCCCCAGAUCACUAGGCCGUUACGGGCCGUCGUGCCUAGCGGGCCAUGCCUCUACAGGCUUCGUGUCUAGCCUUCGGCCAAAGGCAUGGCUUGCGGGCUGAUUUUCGUGUCGUGCCGGCCUACUGCUCAUCAAACCGACAAGAACUCAUUUUCAUCAAUAUUUUCAUCAAAUACUAAAAUAUUUCAUUAUUUUCACCAAUAUAACAAUUAACAAUAUAUAUAUAUAGUCAUAACUACACCAGCAGUUUAUGUUCACCGGGCCGCUAUCGGGCCAACCGUUGGAACGGGCUGUGCCCGUGCCAUGCCGCAUGCCUGGUUGACGGCUCAGACAUGGCCUUGUCCCUCGGGCCGAGCCGGCCCGAACCCAAUGGCCACCGUGCCGUGCCAUGCUCGGGCCGGGCCAUGGGCCAUGGGCCUCAUGGCCAUGUAUACUCCCAUGAGUCCAUCACCCUAUCGAUCUCCCUCUCUAACUCCAACGGGCAGUACAUCAGGAUUGGUGGUUUGGUAUUCGGAUUAUAAGUUCCAAAUUAGAAGAGGAAGCGAUCCAUGCAAGCAGGAGCCGCCAACAAGAUAGAGGUUCUAGAACAGAUAGACCCAGCUGUAGGGGGCCUCAGUGCCCUUCUCGUGGGUGCUGCAGGUGGUAGAAGUAGUCCCAUGGCACCAGCUUGAGGACUACUUGUGCUGCACGCGUGACACAACACAUGGAGGAGCUUGGAGGAGUACCCUCGUGCUUUCGUGGGUGAUGGGAUGAGCAUGAGACUGAGCCUUGAAGAAAAUAAAAGGCAUAAAAUUUUAGGAAAAUCAAUUUCAUAUAAAAUAGUUAGGGGCACUAUGAACAUAUGACAUCUUUGUUCCAUUCUAGAAAAAUAGGACGGAUCAUUUUACCAAAUGUUUUUUUAGAGAAGUUGUUUCUGGUGAAGCUACAACCCUGCUCAAAUUUGUUUUACGAUUCUGAAAGCCUUAAAAAAUAACUGUAAGACAUGGUACUGGAGGUCUGGAGGUCGUCAUCGAAUUCAGCGUGUUCAUUCUCUCGAGAACUAUAUACGUUAGCAUGUGCUAGGAAAGGGGGUCAUGCAUGUUUGUCAAGAGGUAAUACGUAGAGCGGAUGUGUGUCGGUCAACAGCUGGUUCAUGUUUGUCAAAGCAUGCAUGUUGACCGUGGUAACCAUGCUUGGCCCUCUAUCCUCACGCACAAACGGACUCAGGCGACUGGCACAUGUGUUGACCUCUGGGUCUGGGAGCUGGCACACGUACACGUUCGAUCUGUAGACAUUUUCCACCGUACUAUACGGUUUGAAACCUUCAAUUCGUAGACAGACUUGAGAUGGCCGGGUUAGUUAGCGAUUGGGAAAGGGUCGACAGGAACGUGGAUGGGUGACUAAAUAAUAAUCUAGAUUAGAAUCCCGGAUAAAUCAAUAUCUAUAGCAGUUCUCUGGGAGUUGCCGUGAAGGAAACAAAUUUGAAAAAUUUGUGCAUGAUGAUAUCAUACAAAGUCGACGACGGGCUACAUUGGUUGUUGUCUUUUCGUCGAUCAGGCUGAUCAAAGUUACCAGUCCUCUCAAAAUAUCUCGCCCAAUGCAAACUAUAUAUAGCUACUAGUUCUAGCAAACUAAUUUCAUCAAUCAUCAGGCCUGCUGCUAGACUCACCGACAGACAGUCACCGGCAACAAGCAGCAUCGACAACUCGACGACGAGGGGAAGCUUUGCGUUGGUGUGGCUGGCAAUAUGUCGUCGUCCGCGGGUAACAAGAAGACGAUGAAGACGGCGUGCGUUACUGGAGGGAGCGGGUACAUCGGCUCCGCACUCAUCAAGUUGCUGCUGGAGAAGGGCUAUGCCGUCAAGACGACGGUCAGGAACCCCGGUUCGUUCGAUUUCUUUCAAUGGUUCCAACGGUUUAUUAAUUGGAACUUCCUUUGGAGUGCGUAAAAAUAGCACAAGGAUUUCAACGAGGUUUCUGAUUUUAUGGUUCAACAGCAAUAAAGAAAUCCUAGAAUAAAUAUGGUAUUUGAGCUAGGCGCACGAACGCUUUUACUGUUGCAGAUAGUCAGAUAGAUGGUGGUGGUUGUGAUGUGAUUGUGAAUCCCACCACGGCCCUAUCCUACCCUUGCUUAUAGAAAAAGAAUUGACCUUGAUUUGGUUUGACCCCAGAUGACAUGGAGAAGAACUCCCACCUCAAGGACCUGCAGAAGCUUGGACCGCUAACGGUCUUCCGCGCCGACAUGGACGAAGAAGGCAGCUUCGACGACGCUGUCGCCGGCUGCGAUUACGUCUUCCUCGUCGCCGCCCCGCUGCACUUCGAGGCACAGGAUCCAGAGGUGCGCAAACAUGCAUCCUGAUCAGUAUUCACUCGUCGUCGUCGUCGUUGUUGUCGUCGUUGUCUUUUUUUCGAAAGAUCUGUUACCGGCUUUCAUUGAAAUAGAUGUCGUUGUCACAUAACCGCAACUCUCACUCCGACAUACGACGUCGACGGUCGACAUCCCCUGUCUCCAUCUUGGCUGCUCCUCUUUUUCACUCCAUCAGUUGGGUGGUUUCAGAAAGAACUGACUUUUUUCCUUUGACCUGCUUGCCGAUGCCCGAUGGCAGAAAGAGCAGAUCGAGCCGGCUAUCCAAGGAACGCUCAACACAAUGAGGUCGUGCGUGAAGGCCGGGACGGUGCGGCGUGUGAUCCUGACCUCGUCGGUGGCCGCUGUCUACUUCCGGCCGGACCUGCUAGGCGACGGACAUGGGCAUGUGCUGGACGAGGACUCCUGGUCCGACGUCGACUUCCUCAGAGCCCACAAGCCGCCAACCUGGGUGGGUUCGCCGUCCGAUGAUUCUGCACCCAUUCUCCAUCGAUUAUCUUCUGUCCGCCAUUGCUAGGUCAGUUUGAUGGUGACCUGUAUUGCUUGCUUGCUUGCAGUCACACUGCGUGUCCAAGGUGCUCCUGGAGAAGGAAGCGGGCCGGUUCGCGGAGGAGCACGGCAUUAGCCUGGUCACCAUCCUCCCCGUCAUCGUCGUUGGCGCGGCGCCGGCACCCAAGGCCCGCUCCAGCAUCGUCGACUGCCUCUCCAUGCUGUCCGGUGAGUCAGUCAAGAAAAAAAAAACAAUAGAGUUCGUGUGAAUGAUUGGUCGAUUGACGAUUGCUGAUUAUCUUCAGGCGACGAGGCCGGGCUCGCCAUGCUCAGAGCCAUCCAGAAGACCUCCGGCGAGGUGCAGCUGGUCCACGUCGACGACCUCUGCCGCGCCGAGCUGUUCCUCGCAGAGAACGCGACGGCCAAUGGGAGGUACAUUUGCAGCAGAUACCACCCGACCCUCGUCGAGCUCGCGACUUUCCUGGCACAAAAGUACCCGCAGUACGGCGUGAAACCAACAGAUUUGUAAGCAACGGCAACGGCCACGGCCGGCCUCAAUUCCGCGCUGUGGAUAUUAUACAUGUUUGCAGGGGUUUCCAGCUCUGAUUUUUGACACUUCUUUUUUUUUUUUUUUUUUUUUUUGCAGCGACGAUGAGGAGAGGCCGAGAGUGACCAUGUCGUUGGAGAAGCUGAUCCGGGAAGGGUUUGAGUACAAGCACAACACCCUGGAAGAGAUCUACGACAACGUGGUCGAGUACGGCAAGGCAUUAGGAAUUCUGCCCUACUGAUAUAUAGAUGCCCGAUUUAGCUUAAAUAAAUGGGCAGUAUGUCAGUCGGACGUAUGAGUCUUGGAAAGUACUUUAAAUAAGUUAUAUGGACAUUUUCUAUUGGGAAAAUGUUCAAGGAACGCUUAACCUUUGCGUUCUCGCUAUUCAUUUUUCAACACAAUAAUUAGCCACCAUAGAAUGUGAUGUCUGUUUGGUUGUAAUUGAUUGAUUUAUCAUCUCAUCUCUAUCUAUAUUUUUUGUCGCUUUCAUGGCGCCUCUCCAUAUCUUGUGUUGAAUAUAUGCUUAGUUGAAAUUUUAGCUUAAGUUAUAUUAACACUUGGCAGAUGUGUCGUGUUAUUACGAAUCUAGACUUUUGGCUUAAGUUGUAUGACUUCUAUCAUCUCUAAAAGUAAACUAACAUGUCCGUUCGAACGUACCAAAAGUUUUGUUUAGAAAGACGGUAAGAGCUUUGCCGUAUUUUUAUUAGACGAGGAGUACGUACCAAAAGUCUCCAUCUAAAUUGUGAAAACUAUAAAUAACCAUAAAUUGCAUAUAUAGUUGUUUCUAAACUACUCACUUAUAUCUAUAAUUAAUUAUAUACAAAACUAAUGAUAUAAAAAAUUGCACUUGUUUCUAACAACUCACUUAUUGCAUAUGCAUACUUGAUGCAUCUAUAUAUGGUUUCUAAACCCUAUACAAUUAGUCACAUCUAUCUAUACUUUUUGCUAAUAAAAAAUAUUAUGAGUCACAUGUGCAAUUAUGGUUUAUGUUAUUGCUAACGAUAUAUAUAAUAUGCAUAAAUAUAAACCAUAAUAGCCUUAAAUUAUUGUUGUUUGAAUGCAUAAUAUACUUGAUAUGCAUGCAUAUAUCUAUUUAGGGAACGUAUCUGGUGGAAAUCACAAUCUUCGUGAAAAUUCGUGCAAACCAUGACAAAAAAGUCAUUAAAAUUCACCAAAAACAUCACAUAUGUAGAUGAUACACAAUCUUGUAAAAUAUUUUGUCAAAACUCAAAUUCGUUUAUGAGAUAUAAAAAUAAUAAAUUUCUAAUAAAUCAUGUGAACAACUUUCUAGCUUGAAAUUUGUUACUUUAUCUCACCUUUCAUAAUUGCACAUGUGCCCAAUUUAGAUGUAGAAAUAAAAUUUAUUUUGCAUUAUUUUUUUAUAGUAACAAAUGUGAGUAGUUUUCUUAGAAAAUAGAAUAGAUUAAUGGCCAUUACUAGUUAUGCAUAUUCGAUGUGAGCAAUUUUAUGCAGAGCAAAGAUCAUCUGUCAAAAUCAUAGGAAACCAACUAGCAACCAUACAUCUCGUCAAUCUCCUCCGUUCCAAAAAAAAAAUAGCAUUAUGUGUAUAGUAAAAAAUAUUAUAUUUAAUUAAGUUGUACAAAAUAUUAGCAAUAUUUGUAUCUCCAAAUAAAUUUAUUAUAAAAAAAUAUUUAACAGUUUAUAUAAUAAUAAAUAUUAAAAUAUUCUAAUAUAUAUUUGAUUAAAGAUGCAAAUGUUUGAGUUCUGGAGAAGUGAUGCUGGUGGUAAGGAGUUAUACGAAAAAAGUACUAGCAUUUAAAAUAUGAAAUAGUACCAUUAUAUUAGUUAUAUAAUAUAUUUUUGUAAUAAAUUUAUUUAGAGAUAUAAAUAUUAAUCUAUUUACUAUAAUUUUGAUCAAACUUAAGUUAAUUUGACUAUCAUGGAUCCUAUAAUUAUAUUUUUUUGUGGACCUAGUCUACAAAAAUAUCAUUCAUGUUUUUUUUAGAAAUCAGACGGGUUGAUAUAUAAAAUAUAAUGAUAAUUUUGAUACUAAGUAUCAUUAAAUUAUUAUAGAAUAUGUCUUUUUAGGAUGGAGAAAGUACCAUUAAUCGCUGUUACCAAUAAAUGGAGCAAUAGCUACACCUCAUCUAUACCUUUUCAGAUUUUAUAGUGCUUACGUCUUUGUGCACCUAGUGUUGAGCAACGGGCUAGCCUACCGGUACAUCACAAUUCACAAUACAUCUUUGUGCACCUCCGUAUAGGUAGACUGUCGAUAAGCUUUCGUUGACACUACCCUGUAUGGCACGGGUCCGUAUGGCCUGUCAUGCUGCCGAGCUGUGCCUCCACAGGCCACCGUAUUUAGUGCCUGCCGGCUCAGGCACGACACGUGGGCUGAUUUUCGGGCUGUGCUAGUCCGAAGAAUACGAGGCCCAAUAAUUCAUCGAGCUGGCUUAUAGCCCACUAUAUGAAAACAUCAUAUUCAAUAUAGAAUUCAACAAAGCACAAGUAAAUCAUAUUCAAGUUACAGGCCAUGAUAGUUUAUAAUUCACAGAACACACAAUAUACUUCACAGAUCAUAUUUCACAAGCCACAAGUCACAAGUUUCACAAGCCACAAGUCACAAGUUUUACAAGUCACAGAACUUCAAGUUUCACAAGUUUUCUGGUACUAGACCGACACCGUGUCUACUGUUAAAAGCGGGCCGACAUCAACCUUGCCAUUAAAAGCGGGUCGUGCCGUGCCAUCUGGCGAGCCGAUGGAUCAGUCAAAGCACGGCCUGCUACGUGCUUUGGGCCGGGCCAAAUUGCCGUGCUUUGGACCGUGCCUCUGACCCAACAGGCUGCAUGCUUAUUUUUAUGUGCACCCCUCCCUCCCCACCCCCCGCAAAAAAAAAGCCGUUCCAAACUAGUUGCUGCCAUACAAAUUUUAUCGCUUUAGCCUCUCCCUAGCAACUUUUGUGAACAAAUUACCAGGCUUCCGCCAGUCGCCGGCAGCAUAGACGAGGUGUUUGGUGGCUGACUGGCCGGCGGCAAUGUCGUCGUCCGUGGUCGAAAAGAAGAAGAUGGCGUGCGUGACCGGCGGCAACGGGUACAUCGCCUCCGCGCUCAUCAAGAUGCUGCUGGAGAACGGGUACGCCGUCAAGACGACUGUCAGGAACCCCGGUUCGAUUAUCACUUGAUCCCUCUCUUGUCGUGUUUCGUCGCUGGUCGAUCGUACGUUUUCUGAAAAAACAAAAAUACUGGGGCACUGUGGAAUUUUUUACGUACUGUUCGAUAAUAUAAUUAUUGCUAAAAAAAUGACACUAUGUGAGCUAUAAGGGUAAUUAUUCAGUCCUCUCUUGAUUAAAUCUGAACCCCAGAUGACAUGUCCAAGAACUCCCACCUCAAGAACUUGAAGGCGCUCGGCCAUCUGGAGGUCCUCCGCGCCGACCUGGACCAAGAAGGCAGCUUCGACGAGGCCGUCGCUGGCUGCCACUACGCCUUCCUCGUCGCCGCUCCGGUUUGAACCUCGCGUCAGAGGAUCCAGAGGUGAGCAACCACCACGAAUGAUAAUCCGGACUCCGGAGUUGAUCGUUCCCAUGCCACGAUCAUCAAUCAGUACGUACUUCGCCGGUGGUUAUUUUUAUUUCAGAAAGAUGUGAUCGAGCCUGCUGUCCGGGGAACGCUGAACGUGAUGAGGUCGUGCGCGAGAGCCAGGACGUUGCGGCGCGUGAUCCUGACCUCGUCGUCGGCCGGCGUGUACAUCAGGCCGGAGCUGCCGCAGCAGGGGGACGACGACGACGGGCACGUCGUCCUGGACGAGGACUCCUGGUCCGACGUCGAGUACCUAAGAGCCGAGAAACCGCCGCUCUGGUGGGCCUACUGCGUGUCCAAGGUGCUCCUGGAGAAGGCGGCGUGCAGGUUCGCGGAGGAGCACGGCAUCAGCCUGGUCACCAUCUGCCCCGUCGUCACCGUCGGCGAGGCGCCGGCUCCGGUCGUCAACACCAGCGUCCCCCUCUGCCUCUCGUUUCUUACCGGUGAGCGAUGAGGAGGAUGUGAGGUCCCUGUCGUUGUGCUGGCACUAAUUGCGGUUGGCCGGUCUUUUUCAGGCAACGAGGCACUGCUCGCGGCGCUCAAAGGCAUCGAGAAGACCUCCGGCGGGGUGCAGCUGGUGCACGUCGACGACCUCUGCCGCGCCGAGCUGUUCGUCGCCGAGGAGGCGGCCGCCGCGGGGAGGUACAUCUGCUGCAGCCUCAACACGACCGUCGUCGAGAUCGCGCGUUUCCUGGCACGCAAGUACCCGCAGUACGGCGUGGAAACAAAUUUGUCGUAAGAAUAAUCGAGCCAACCGAUGAUGCUGAUUGAUCUGACGUCCUCAGUGAUGAAUAAAGAUUUUUGGUGGUUAUAUGUUCUUAUCUGAGAUCCUGUUUCUGAAAUCAAUGCAGCACCGACGACGACGAGCAGCUCCUGGAGAAGCCGAGAGUGAGCCUGUCGUCUGCAAAGCUGGUUGGGGAAGGGUUCGAGUUCAAGUACAAGACCCUAGACGAGAUAUACGGUGACGUCGUACGUCGAGUACGGCAAGGCACUGGGAAUUCUGCCCUACUGAUAUAGCGUGGAUAGUCUGAUGUGUAGCCCGUUUUGGGAUAGUCUAUUUUGUCAAUAUCUAUAUCUAUUCUACUUCUACAUCCAUCUAAUAUUAAAAGAAAAAAAUUAUGUCGUCUAUUUUUUUUUCAUCCAUCGGAUCAUCCCAUUAUGCCUCACUUUUCUCCAUCCUCAUCUCACAUUUGUUGCCACACACAUUUCUAAUCCAAGUUCAACACGGGAUCAUAUUUUUUUUCUAAUCUAAAACCUGCACGAUCUUAAUCUACGGCAAAACCACACGUUUCAAAUAGUGAAUGUCUAGCCAUGAUGCAGAGUCUGAUUCCAAAAAUAUAUCAGAAUAUAUGACAUAAUAGUUGUAUAAAUCUUCAAUCCAAAAGUCGUGACAGUAUAAUAAAUUGUAUGUUCUAUUGCAAUGUCUGGAUAUGUUUGCUAGUUAUUGAAAAAUAUGCUAGGGUUAAGUUAUCGAAUGGGAUGGUCUACUGUGCUAGCUAGUACUAGCAGAACUACAUACUCCCUCCAUACCAGAUUUAAGUGACGUUCUGGGCACCUGUUUAGAUUUCGUAAAGCAGCAAAAAUGGGCAUGGCGUUUUAGCCUCUGAAGAAGUCCGGCGAACUGGAAUGCCCCUGCCGCUUCGUUCGUCGCAGAGCAAAAAUGGCACAGGACGUGGGAUUUGAACCGCUGCCCUCGCCCACGCGCACCUCGAAACCACCCUAACCAGUAGAGAUGAGAGUCUUUCAUGUCUAGGAACACCUUCGGCUCCAUUUAAUAGGGGCUAAACCGGAAGAUUAGCCCUUAAUCAAUGACUCCUUGGUAAGCACAAUCAUGUUCUAAACGUCAUGUAAUCUUGGUACGGAGGGAGUAUCAGCUUGAGACCUUAGGAGAUAUAGAGGCCGGCCGGGCUAGACUACCUUAUUAGGGCCAUCGGCUGCUAGAGCACUCCAUUAAAUGGAUGGUGGGUUUCUCGGGUAUCUUAGGUUAAACUUGUAAAACCAAUAGUUUAGCAUUGCUUUCUCUAGGUUUAUUAGGUUGGUUCUAAUCUAAUUUGCAUCAAGUACAAAAGGUGCGUUUAGUUUGAAGGAUCAUCACGAAUGAGAUUUGACAAAUCUAGUUUCACUAGUUUAUUUUGUUCUGGGGCAACGAGGGACGAAACCAUCCCCAGGUGAAAUAUUUCUCCUAAAUCCAGCUGACUUGUGGCAAUAGCGACCGGAUUGAGUAGAGCACAACCACUAUUGAGGAUGGCAUGGCCCUAGGGCAAAGGCGACAAGGACAUAGUAGUGUCGGCACGGAACAAAAAGACAUCUCGACACAUGUGGUGCUCAUGGCGACGGUGUGAUGGCUCGGUGGAGCAUAUGUGGCGAAGGAGAGAGAUCAAGGAAGGAGAAGGUGUGGUAUUGGCUGACAUGUGGGGUCCCAAGACUAAAAGUGACUAAUGGCGUAGAAAACACCAUCCGCCUCAUGUCGUUUGAUCUUUCCGACCAAAUAAUAAGAUAAGACCGUUUGGUCCUUCCAACCAAGGCCUUGUGGAAUUUUACAAAAUAGAAAUAGUAGCACUUUUGUUUGAAUUUGACCAAUAUUAUCCAAUCAAACUAGUCUCAAAAGAUUUGUCUCGCAAAUUACAGAUAAACUAUAUAAUUAGUUAUUUCUUUUAUCUAUAUUUACUUAUUUAGUGCUCCAUGCAUGUGUUGCGAGAUUCGAUGUGAUGGGGAAUGUGAAAAAUGUUGCAAAUUAUUUUGGGAACUAAACAAGGCCCAAAUAAUAAAAUAAGAUGACCCCAUUCCCUUUUCGAUCAAACAAGAGCUGAGACAGUUCCAUCCUAAAAGCUAGGGAUGGAUUCAUUCCAUGGCACGUUGUCUCUCCUUACCAAACACAUGUGAAGGCAACAACUCCAUCUCAACUGUGUACAACGUGGACAUUGAUUUUACUCAAAUGGGAGGAGAAAAGUCCACAACGAAUCAAUAACAUCUGCCCUUUUUAUUUUAUUAUAUGUUUUUAUUAUUUUUAUUGUUAUAUAUGUAACCUCAAUAAUUGAGUCUGUGGUUUUUUUCUGUCAUAGCACAGAUGUAAAUACUCAUACAUGUACAUACCGAACCUACAAUGGACUAAUUUCGCAUUUCCUCAUAUGGGUGGAAACCAUGUCAAAGUAAAAGAAAUAGUAUCAAAAAAUAAAAUUGUGUUCUUGGGCUUGACUAGGGGGCUAAAUGGCCAGCAAGAAAACUCUUACUUUAAAGGCAUCAAUUUUUAACAUUUAGCCCAUUGAAGCAGCAUCAGUCAUAUAUCACCACUGACAACAUGGUGAAAAAGAAUAAAGGAGCAACGUACACUGUGGCAAUACUGGCACCGCACCACAGCAAGUUCUUGCUCCGACAAGAGGUUAAGAGCCUUGCUCAUAACCUUGUCAUAGUCGUUAAUGCCCGACUUUUGAAUAUAUAGCACCAAUCCGAGAAUUGACCCGCCGGUGAAGACGAUUUCCAACCGUCCCUCUUGAAUUGCCAACAGGGGGCGAAGGAAGCUUGUGCGUGCUAACUGAACACCUACCAACCGGUCAAGCGUUCGAACAAAAAAACCAACCGGUCAAGCGCAACGGACUGAAGUGUGUACUGUGUACGUGCUCCAUGAUAAAAUGCAGACUAGCAGCUCCAUGAUCAGAACUCACUCCUGCAUGCAAAUCGUAGCAAAAAAUAAAAUAUUUAGUGGCGAGUUCUCAUUUCCCCCAUUGCCAGGCGGAAGAGGAGGUGAUCGGCAAUGUCAGAGGGCGGCAGGAAGCAGAAGACGGCGUGCGUGACCGGAGGUAACGGGUACAUCGCCUCGGUGCUCAUCAAGAUGCUGCUCGAGAAUGGCUACGCCGUGAAGACGACGGUCAGGAACCCCGGUUCGUUCGGUUCUUCCCUAGCUAGCUAGUUUCCACACUAGAUUGAGCGUGAACAGUUGCAGUUUCUUGUGAUCCCGUGACAAAACUUUGUAUUAUUGUGAUCCUGAAUCGCAGAUGACAUGGCCAAGAAUUCCCACCUCAAGGACAUGCAGGCGGUCGGCCCCCUGACAGUCCUCCGCGCCGACCUGCUAGAAGAAGGCAGCUUCGACGAGGCCGUCGCCGGCUGCGACUACGCCUUCCUCAUCGCCGCUCCGGUGAACCUCCAUUCGAAGAAUCCUGAGGUGCACAAACGUCACCACUACCUACGACUUGUGAUUUUCACCUGCUCCGAUCCUUUGCUCAAAUGUGGUGGCGGUGACUGAACUGAUGGCAGAAAGAACUGAUCGAGCCUGCUGUCCGAGGAAUCCUGAACGUCAUGAGGUCGUGUGCCAAGGCAGGGACAGUGAAGCGCGUGAUUCUGACCUCGUCGGCGGCUGCAGUCGCCGGCAGGCCGUUGCAAGGCGGCGGCCACGUUCUGGACGAGGAGUCCUGGACCGACGUCGAGUACCUCACUGCCAAAAAGUCCAGUCACUGGGUAAUAAGGAAAUGGCACCAUAAAUGUCCUGUCCCCGUUCUCGUCCGAAUCGGAAGAAUGGCACCAUCCAUUUCUGCUGAUGACGAGUAUGGCACACCAUCCAACAUCCAUGUGCUUGCAUCGCAGGGGUACGGGGUCUCCAAGGUGCUCGCGGAGAAGGAGGCGUGCAGGUUUGCGAAGGAGCACGGCAUCAACUUCGUCAGCGUCUGCCCCGUCCUCACCGUCGGCGCAGCACCUGCCACAAAGAUGGACACGAGCCUCCACGCUAGCCUCUCCUGCUAUCCGGUCGCUUCCAAAUUCCCGUGUUUUGACUCCCAGUCAUUCAGCAGUGUUUUUCUCUGACAAUAAAUUAAUCAACAGUACUUUCUGCCAUGGCAGCCAAACGAACAAGAUAAUUCGCACGCUACAGUGCAUGUCUCAUGAGUCAUGUUCAUGGUUCACCGAUCGAAAUUUGCAGGCGACGAAGCAGCGUUCCGGGUGCUGAGAGGAAUCGAGAUGGCCACGGGCUGCAUGCCGCUGGUUCACGCCGCUGACCUGUGCCGUGCGCAGAUGUUCGUCGCCGAGGAGGACGCGGCCGCCGGGAGGUACAUCUGCUGCAGCGUCAACACCACCAUCGUCGAGCUCGCCCAUUUCCUGGCGGACAAGUACCCGCAGUACACCGUGAAGACACAUCUGCUGUAAGAAUAAGAAUCGGCCGGAUUUCGAUCACACCUACAGCUCUGGAUUCUGGAACAUAUUUUGCAGGGGACAGAUCAGUGACCGAAUAAUUCUCGCGCUUUAAUUUGCAGCUCCUCCGGGGUCCUUGAAAAGCCGAGAGUGAGCCUGUCGUCGGCGAGGCUGCUCGGCGAAGGGUUCAAGUUCAAGUACGAGACGCUGGACGAGAUCUACGACGACGUGGUGGCGCAGGGCAAGGCCCUGGGGGUUCUGCCCAACUGAUACUUUCUUUGCAUUGCAAAGCGAUCGAGAGCACCAAAUUAAAUAGCAAUGAAGUUGGGAAACAAAUAAAUUUGUUGUAUCUCUAUCCAUACGGUAGCUGAACUGUAGAGGUUCAGUCAGUUUGUGUAAAAGUGGGAUCUGUGCGUUUGUGUACUCCUGCAAUAUCUAUAUCUAUAUUUACAUAUAUAUACUUUUUUGUCUUAUUAAAAAGGAAAAUUUUCUCUCAUCCAAAUCUUCGUCCCGCACCAUCCACUGUUACUUUUCCUACAAAUGUUGAGUAUAUCAGAGUCCCCAAAUUCCAUAUGUCCUGAACUUUUUCGAAAGAUCAUAUGUCCUGAACUUUACGUGUUCAACACACCAAUUACGUAUUUCCACGGCCUGUACUUUGACGUUCAUCUUCAAUAUUAGCAGCGAAAGGAUUUUACAUAAAAAACACAUUGCUAGGGUUCUAGAUUUGAGGGCAGAAAACCAUUGGCUCCAAAAACCAAGCAAUUAGAAGGUAAGACAUGGCACACCCUGGCAAGACAUGCAUGGCACGCUCUUCCCGUUCUCAUCCUCGCACGCUGUUUGGCUGGAGGUCUGGGUGACUUGCCUGGAAAAAAAAUCUUGUACAGAAUGUCCGUUUGAUUGGAGGCCUGUGCUUUGAAUGUAUAAUAUUAUGUGUACUUAUGGUGUAUGAUAAACAUAUACUUUUAUAGUUUAACUCAAAUAAAUAGAUGAUCUAGAUUAGUGUUAUUUCCCCUUGUCUUAGAGAUUAAUAAGUAACAGCGACAAAGUAUUUGUUAAAAAAAAAUAUCCGUUCAAGGAAUCAAGCAACUAACUACCAAUAAGAGUAGUAGGGACCAGACAAAAGAAACAAUAAAGACGGCACAGACAAAAAAAAAAAAGCUAACAUGCAUAGAGCUGUUUCUUUCCUCUUAAUAAGCUAUAGUAGAAAAUAUUAUUUGUUUUAUAAUAAAAAAUACUACUAAAUGACUUAUAGAUUUGGCUAAUAAACUUAAGUGAACAGCACUUCAAUUUCAGUCGCCUCUGGACAUCGACGCGCUUGCCUGGUACAAGCACAGGGCAUUAACCAAACGUACACGAGGCAAGGCGUGCGCAAGGUCCGGACCAAGCAAUUCUGUCCCAGGGCCCUAAUGUACACGAAGGCAACGUCAUAGACGUAGACGUAGACGUAGGUAUCAAUGUUCAAACUUGCAAGCGAGGAGGGCCCAUCAUAAUUGAUCUCAAUAAUGAUGACAACGUUGAUACAGGCUCAGAAGUAGAUGCCUAAAAUGAUGUCCUGAAAAUGUAUAUGCAAGAUGUUUUAUGAAAGGAAGGUGGGCAACCAAAUUACAUCCUUCUCACCUAAACAUUUAUACCAGGUAAAUAAACUUUAGUAUCAUUUUCCUUUUUUUUGCUAUUUCAUCUAUACAACUUAAUAAUAAUAAUAAUAAUAAUAAUAAUAAUAAUAAUAAUAAUAAUAAUAAUAAUAAUAAUAAUAAUAAUAAUAAUAAUAAUAAUAAUAAUAAUAAUAAUAAUAAUAAUAAUAAAGAAAUAAAAUUUCUCACUGCUAAAAUUUUGUACGGCCUAGCCCGUCUCUUAUUUUCAAGGGCCCAACCACACCUCCUGACCAGUCACCCACUAAAGGCACACCAACUAAUGGGCUAUGCUAACUUGAGGCCCACUAAAGGCACACCAACCAAUGGGCUAUGCUAACUUGAGGCCCACUAAAGGCACACCAACCAAUGGGCUAUGCUAACUUGAGGUCCACGGGAAGUGCUUUCAAAUAUAGACAAAAUUUUUGGAACUAGCGUCAAAUGCUAACUAGAGGCACACCACAAAUAUAGACAACCUAGUUUGUAUUUGACAAAUAUUGUCCAAUACUAACUAGGUUUAAAAGAUUCGUCUCGUCAAUUCCGACCAAAAUGUGCAAUUAGUUUUUAUUUUUGUCUAUAUUUAAUACUCCAUGCAUGCGUCUAAAGAUGUGAUGUGACGGGAAAUCUGAAAAAUUUUACAAUUUUUUUUGGGAACUAAACAAGGCCUAAGUGUUGAAUUUAGCCUUAUUAAAUAUCAAUAUCUAUCAUUUCUGUUCCACCGUAUCGCCCAAUGCAACAAAUAAAGUGCCACUGGAGCAUGUUGCCAUGGGUGUGGGUUGGCUCCUGGAGGAAGAAUGAUAGGAUCGGAUUAUUAGCUUGAGUAUCCUGCUUUUUAAUCCUACUACUAUCAGACCAAUUGGCAUCGUCGCGAGGGUUCUCAACACGCGGCGUCUAUAUGAACUGACCUGGCGAUGCUCGAAGCCAUGCACUUUCAGGCGCCUCUCCAGGUUUGCCCCAUGGCUGACGCAUAUGGUUACACGGCGCCAUCCGGCAACGGGAGAGCAUCACCGUACCACCAAGUGCCUCAUUUGCUAAAUGAUGAAGUAGAUCUCACGUCUGUGCCUGAAAGUCCUCAGUGUCCUGUGAUUUUUAGUGACUACAGAGUAAUUCACUUUCUGGACACGUCAGUUUCAUCCCUUUAUUUACUAGCCUUUCGAAAAAGUUUCAUCCCUUUACUUCUAGUGUGGUGUCUAUAUAUAUAUAUAUAUAUAGCGAUGGCCCCCGACAGUUACAAGCCACCAAAUCGAAGACGACGACGGGUCUCAGUGUCAAUGCUCCCUGCCGAGAGAGCUUUUUGUGAGCCCUAUCUCGCAUGUCAUGAAAGAGAGGUUUUUCGCGAUCGAGAACGUGACUUGCACGUGUUUCAUUAAGAGUGAUAGUCAUGAGAGAGGUGGUCAGUUGUGAUCGGCGUAUAAUGGCAGCUGGCGACAUGAAGAGGACGGCGUGUGUGACCGGAGGGAACGGGUAUACAUCUGGGGAAUCUUUUCGUUCGAACGUUCGGACAAGAAACACGGUUUGAUUCUUGUCACGGUCUUUCUCGUCACGAGUUCCAACCAUAGAGCGACAGCUACACAGCUGAGCGACUGUACGCAGCGAAGCUAGAGAAAAUUUAAGGACGGUGCACUUACUUUAUGAAUGUAUAGAUUUUUUUAAUAAACAGGAGAGGUCUGUGGAGGUACAUAUAUAUAGUGAAAAAUUGGUCACUAUAACUGAUUUUUAAAAUUUUAGGAAUGUAUAGGCACCUCCUAAUGACACUGCAGCUUCACCCAUGUAUGUUUCUUUUCCUUUUUCUUCUCGGGACGGAUGGACAGGUAGUUGACUUUCUUCUUAUUUGUAACGCUUGCUAGUUUGUAGUGGUUGGCUUGCGUUAGUUUCUUUUCUAUUUCUUUUUUCCUUUUUUGUUUUAUGUAUUUUUUAUUAUUUUCUCAUUUCUUAUAUUUUUAUGUUUCUUUUUAUUUCUUUUUUCUAUUUUCUCUUUUUUUUCCUCUUUUUAUGUUCCCACGAUGUGCAUGUUCUAUUUUUAUCUUUUUCCUCUUCUUUUGAAUUCUCUUCAUUGUUUUUCUUUGCUUCUAUUUAUUCUUACCUUUUCUUUUCCUAUUAGUUUUUUAUGUUUUUUCAUUCUUAUUUUUUCUUUUCCCGCCCCUAUUUCAGUUAUUCAUUUUUUAUUUGUUCUAUAUAUUUUAUCCUUGUUAAUAAUAUUUUUGUUUCUUUUUCUAAUUAUGUUUUUCUUUGAUCCAUGUUUUUUAUUUUUUAUAUUUCUUUAUUUUAUUCCUUUUCUUUUCGUGUAUAUUUCUUUUUUCUUUUCUGCUUUUAUUAUUAUUAUUAUUAUUAUUAUUAUUAUUAUUAUUAUUAUUAUUAUUAUAUGUUUCAUAUUUUUAAUGAUAUUUAUUUUCUUAUUAUGUAUUUUGCGAUGUUCGCCUAAUCUACAUGUGAUAUUCUUGUAAUAUACAUGAGAUGUUUUAUGACGUUUUUUGUGAUGUUCACACAAUAUACAUAUGAUGUUCUAUGAUGUAUUUAGUGAUGUUCACGUAAUAUAUAUGCGAUGUUCUAUAAUGUAUUUAGUGACGUUCUAUGGCAUAUUUUAGUGAUGUUCACUUAGUAUAUAUGUGAUGUUCUAAGAUCUAGUUAGUGAUGUAUAUGUGAUGUUCUAUAAUGUACUUGGUGAUGUUUUAUGGUGUAUUUUGUGAUAUUCACUUAGUAUAUAUGUGGUAUUCUAUAAUCUAUUUUAGAAUGUUUAAAAAUUAUCCGUGUGAUAUUUUUUAAAUUUUUCUCUGUUACAUCUUAAUUUUUUAUUAUGCUUUGGUCUAGAUUUUAUGUUUUAUUUAUGCUAGAUAUUUAUUUAUUUAUUUUUAUAUAUAUUAUAAUACCAAUAUCAUGCAUUUAAACUAAACAUUGUUCUUCUAAACUAAGAAUAUUUUUCUUACAAAGACGGAACAUUGUUCUCUGAACUUGGAACAUUUUCUCUGCUUAAUAAAGAAAAUAAUCUAUUUUCAUAAGAUAAAUAUUUAUCAAUAAAAAAUUAUCUAAAUAUAUCUAUGUAAGUCUUGUUUUAAAGAAUUUAUUAAAAAACCAAAUGAUUUAUUUAAAAUUUAAUUUUAUAUGUUUGGUUUAAUAUUUACGACUUUUUUUUAAUAAAAACGUAUGACAUCACCUCAUGCAAAUCAUCAAGCAAAUAAAAUAAUCAUUUGCAUGCAGGCUAGUGUCCUUAUCCGUCCAGUGCGCCAUCCUCUGGUGGUUGGAAAAGUUCUUUUUCCUAUGCUCCUGUGAGGCUCACGAGAACAAGUAUUACAGUGGGCUGUAAGCUGGCUAAAUGCUGAGGUGGAGGAGAGAAGAGAGGAGAGAGAGGAGAAGCAGGCUGUAAGCUUACAGCCAGCUUAGGUACAGGAAUCAAGAAACUUUGUGAGAGAGAUAAGUGGGACAUAUAUUAAUAGUGAAUAGCUAACUAUUGUAUGGAUGGGCUGAGAGAAGGCUGCAAAAAACCUUACAGCCAGAUAUUAUUAAACUUGCUCUCGCUGCGAGCGCCGGAGGGAAAUUUAUCGGCGCGAAGCCCAAGGAACCGCACGUUUCCUCUGUUCGCACGCUUUCCUAGCCAGGGAUAGGUGGAGACACUGUAGGCAAAAAAAGAAGUCUCGUCAAUUUUUUAUUAAACUGUGCAAUUACUUCUUAUUUUCGUUUAUAUUUAAUACUCUAUAUAUGUGUCUAAAAAUUCGAUGUGACAGGAAAUCUAAAAAAUUUUACAAAAUUUUUUAAAACUAAACAAAGCCACUAUCGAACGCAUAUUUCGGUCCGCCCAUCGAACGCUAGCAGCCCUCAGUAUACAUCCCUCCGCGAUCAUCAAGGGCCCGUUUGGUUGCCCGUAUAAGACCAUACAUGCAUCUCGGGAUACAUCGUGACCCUGUUUGGUUGUCUGCAUGCAGCUUUGGACCAGACAUUGGGCAUGCAAAAAGAAGCCCUCAGCCAGGCUGGAGGAACGCCCGAAUCGGCCGUUCCUGGCCAGCCAGACUGGGCAAAUGCAGCCGUUUACGUGGCUAGCGGUGUAUUAGUGCGUGAUUAGUAAAUAUCAAGUGAUAUUACUGUAUUUUAAAGUUGAUUAAGAUAUAAUUAGAUAAAAUAAGAUCUGUAAGAGUGUAUUCAUACACAAAUAAAAAUUAUAAUCAUAAUUUUAUAAUAUUUUUAUCUCAUACAGUUUACCUUCAUAUAGAUAACCAAACAGCAUCUAAUCAGAGUCUGACUUCACAUAUGCAUACAACCAAACUAAACUUCCUUUAUGUAUUUGGUCUGGUUGGGAUGAGAAGGGAACCAAAUAGGCCCCAAGAUGCUGCUGGAGAAGGGCUACAUCGUGAAAUCGGUAAUGAUAUGUAUAAGACGUCCGGACGGACGGACGCUGCUGUCCACUCGUUUUAUCCGAUUCACUCGUUGCCUUCUUCUCUCCCUCGCGCUGCUGUCCACACGUUUUAUUCACUACUUUUCAUCUUCUCUGGCCGCUCCACUUCUCUUGCCACACACGUCCGCACUCUACUACGCCGCUGGCUAGCCAUCCCUCUCUCUCCCUUCCUCCCUUCCUCACCUCGCUACAACCUCCAUGUCUCCAUGCCACCGGAGUGGGGGCGGCGACGGUGGCUUGCAGCAAGCCGCACGUCUCCCUAUCUUCGUACUCUCUUCCUCGCUCGGCGACCUCCAUGGAUGACGGCGCACCUCCAAUGAGGUAGGUGGGGACGAUUUGGAUCUGAGGUCUCUCUUUCCCCUUCCUCCUCCUAUGGAUCUAGAUCUAAGCCCUCCUCUUCUUCUUCUUCUGUGGAUCUAGAUCUGAGCCCUCCUCCCUCCUCCUCCACGUUCUUCAACUCUGCUCCUCCUCCUCCUACUUCUCCUUUGGGUCUGGAUCUACGUGAUGUGGUGGUGGUUAAGAUUUCGAUGAGCUUUUGGGUUUCAGCGUUCGCGCAUGUUGUAAUGGUGUUCUCUGCUUGUUGCAGUACGUUUUCAAGUGAUGUUGCAGUAGGGUAGGAUUUUGACGAGCUCUCAGGUUCAAGUCUCGUCUUCAUUGCAAUGGUUCUCUCUAGACGUUGCAGUAGGUUUCAGUCGUUUGUUGCAAUACUGUGUUUCAAGAUGUUGUUUCACUUGCUUCAAUCUGCAUGUUCUAGUAGUUUUCUUUCAUGUUGUCGCAGCAGUUGUUCGGUGUUGUUGUAGUACUAUGUCCAUGGUGUUUCAGUUGCUCCAUCUAAUGUUUCAAUCUUCACUGUUGUAUUAGUUGUUGCAUGUUGUUGCAACAGCUGUUCGGUGUUUGUUGCACUACUAUAUCCAUGGUGUUUCGGUUUCUCCACCCAAUGCUUCAAUCUAGCUGUUGCAUUAGUUGUUACAUGUUGUUGCAACAGUUGUUCGUUGUUGUUGUAAUACUAGGUUUCAUGGUGUUUCAGCUGCUCCAUCCAAUGCUUCAAUCUGUAUGUUGUAGUAGUGUUUGCAUGUUGUUGUAGUAGGUGUUCAGUGUUUGUUGUAAUACUAUGUUUUAUGGUGUUUCAGCUACUUCAACCUAUUGUUGUAGUAGUAUAUCUAUGUUGUUGUACUAUCACGCGCAUUGUGUUGCAGCGUUAAGUCUAUGGGGUAGGCUAUCGGGACGAGUUGACGAUGGGCAGAUGUGCUAGGGACCGGUGAGACGAGGGGCGAGGUGGAUCCGGUGCUCGCGGUGGUGGGGACGGGCUCCUUGUCUGGGGAGCGGACGAAGAGCAGUCCUCCGUGCGGGGCAAGUAGAGCAGAGCGCGAGAUGGUUGCAGACGGACGGUUUCCCUUCUUUUUCUUUUUUUUUUCUUUUUGCGGGUGGGGGCUCGACGUACGGAUGUGUUGUUGACGCUUUUUUUUAUUUUCUAUGGAUGGCGCGGGUUGGAGGCUCGGCGUCCGGAUACGGUACUGGCGCCGGACGUCCGGGCGCUAGGUCAAAGAACCCAGUCCGGAUCACGGUUCGACCCAUCCCAGAGUCCCGUCGCCCCGGCCUUGUUUAGUUUCUCAAAAACUAAAAAAUUUUCAAGAUUCUCCAUCAUAUCAAAUCUUACGGCACAUGCAUGAAGCAUUAAAUAUAGAUGAAAAUAAAAACUAAUUAUAUAGUUUUUCUGUAAAUCAUGAGACAAAUCUUUUAAAACCUAGUUACUUCAUGAUUAGAUAAUAUUUGUCAAAUAAAAAUGAAAAUAUUAUAAUAUCAUAAUUAAAAAAAAUUAGAUCUAAACAAGACCUAAUAUCACGUCUGCUAUUGUUUCUGCAGCUCCGUUUCUCCAUGGAUGAAGGAGACGCCGCCGUGGCGACUGGCGACCAUUCUGGAGCAGCGCGCGGCAACCGGCCGACAGAACGAGCAAACGGUGCACCUUUCGAUUUGGCGUGAGGAGGUUCCUUAAGCCAUGUGCCAUUUGUUUGCUUGCCUGUUCCUGAGUCUUGGAAUACGCUAGCCGCAGCUUCUGUGUAAGAUUUUUUUUUCUCCAAGUCAAGGCAUACUAACGUUGAGCAGCUUUUUUCUCAUGCAGUGAAUGAUUUUAGGUCUAGGCCUUGUUUAGUUGUGAAAAGAUUUCGAAUUUUGAUACUGUAGUACUUUAGUUUAUAUUUGAUAAUUAUUGUCCAAUUAUAGAUUAACUAGGCUGAAAAGAUUCGUCUCGUAAUUAAAUUACAGAUAAACUGUGCAAUUAGUUUUUGUUUUCGUCUAUAUUUAGUGCUUUAUGCAUGUGCCACAAGAUUUGAUGUGACGGAGAAUCUUGAAAAGUUUUUGAAUUUCGGGGUGAACUAAACAAAGCCUUACUGUGAAUACAUUUGAAUAUCUGAGAACAAGACCAAUAUUGAGCAUUCAAGUAUGUUACUUAAUCAUUCAAAUUCCAAAUGGAGAAGAUGGGUCCAGUUCAUCUGUCAAAUUUGUCAGUUCAGAUAUUAGACACUGGUAAAGUGCAACGCAGCCAAAAGCAAGACAACAGACUCAUAGUCAUUACGUGGCGUUGAUAAUAGAAUUACAUUUUCACAGAUAAUGUUACUCAACAUUAUGACACUCAUCAGUGAUAAGGAGGCAAUAGGAGCACGCCAACAACAAACUAUUUUUCUAAUAAUUGAACAAAAGAGCAUCAGUUGAUGGAGACUGUUAGGACUCUUGCACUAUAUUAUGAAGAACUUGAUGAAUGUCAUCACUGAAAUGUUGUUUUGACGAUAGACUUUCAGCAUUUUUGACAUAGUUGAAUAUCACUGGACAUUUUUCUGAUGGUGAGCAGUUCCCGCGCUAUCUCCUUCUUGGACAUCCCGCCGUAUGCCUGCAAAGUGUGCAAACCGAGAAAUUGUAGGCAGCAAGCGGUGGAUGUUCAGAACCACAACAACAUUUACAAUGGUACAUGUUAGCAUCAUAUACCUGGAAACGGCAUGAAUUUGAAGAACACACGCCGUGUUACAGAAGAAAUGCAGACUUUUACUUUCUCAUAAGUCAUAAGCUAGGUAACAGCGCCACAACAGAAUAGACUUCUGCACCUUAUCGUCACCUAGAGCUCUCCCACCACAAAAACAGACUCCUGCAGCUUAUCAUCACCUAGAGCUCUCCAAAAUCCAAACAGACUGUAUUCUAUUGUUACAUUCGGCUUUACACAAUUCAAAAGCACCAAACAUGAAAGCUGCACGUAGAAAACAAUGAUAAUAUGAACCUAUGAAAGGUGCAUACAAAAUAGAAGUUCCAACUUAGAUAUAACAAAUUCAUGGAUCGAGAUGCAAUUUCACCUUUGUUUGCAAAUUUCUAAUCUCAAUACAGAGUCUCAUGCACAGAACAUGUCAAAGGCUAUUUGUUGUUGCAGAUGAAGGAAAAUUAUACUUCACUACCACCACUUCUAGUUUCAGUAGGAGCUGACGCAUCAAUAUCUCCAAAAUGGCAUGGUAGCCUAAUUCAGAACUAUUUUAACAAUACCAAGAACCAGGUGAGCCGACAAAACAUAUGUAGCAGCGACUGAAACUGCGGUGCAAGUGCAACGACGACAGCUCCUGGGCUCUGCCACAACCCUCGGUCAAACAUCUGACGCUAAAAAUUAUAUUAUCAAUAGAUGAUCAGUCGCUAAAGAUAACUCAUAGGCUAUCUGUUGCUAAUUCCCUAUUUACUAGUUGAACGCCCGUUGCUAUAGACAUUCAUAUUUACUAUUGGGCCAUCAGUUGCUUAAAAUAGAUAUACUGCCGAUCAGUUGCCCCAUGUCCAACUCAUGAGCCCACGCCUCCAUCCAGCUCACGCACAAAUUUUAACGUGGCCUACACAAUGACAAACCCUAGACUCUUCUCUCCUCAAAUCUCAAAUCUAGAGAAGUGUUGCCACUUGUUCUUUCCUCUCCCAUAGCUGCCGCCAUUUUUUUCUCUCCCGCCACGCUCCACUCUCUCUCCAUCCCUUCCUAUUCCAAUUUGCCGGUCUCUUUAUCCCACUUGACUACGCGUCGUCUCCCUUCCAAAUCCCGCGCCACCCACCCCAAAUUCCCCCUAGGCCUCUCUGCUGGAGAAUAUGAGAUGCAACUCAUGCAAGAAGAUCGGAGGGAUGGGGUAGGGGUACCAUGCCACCCUUGGCCCGCUGGGUGGUGGCACACCGCCGUCAUCAUCGAUAGCUGCCACCGCUGCAUCACUCGCGCAAAAUUGAAUGGCACCGCCGGAUCUCAUUGCAAUGGAAUGACACCGGGGGUCCAGCAGGAGAUGGAGAUUCAGAUCGACUUGGAGUUGUCUGUGGAGCACACAAUAUCUUGCAAAUGCAUAUUCUUGCGCAUGAGAAUCUCUCUUGUGCUCAAUCUAUCCUUGAGGAGAAGCCAGAAGAAAUUCCCCUUUUGUUCUAAUAGGCUGGCUUCCACAACCACCGAUAAAUAGGGUGAAUUUAUCUAUGACCCACAAGAUGUUUAUAAAAUCUCUGACAAGAGAACAUAUUAGAUCCCCAGAUAUAAACUCAUUUAUUUGGUUCACCGGUAGUCUGAAAGUUCAAAGUUAGAAUGAAGUCUUGAUACCGCUGAAAAGCCCCCUCUAAAAGGGGGAGAUGGAACAAGUCAUGUAGAGGGUGAUCUAUAAAGCAUGAGAGACUGAGAGGUUUCUUUCUUCACAUAAGAAAAGAGCUUUGGAUAUUUGGCACUUAGAGGCUCCCUAACCCAAUUGUCAGUGCUUAGCAGGUAGAACCAUCAGCUAACUAAGUAGAAGCUAAACCAUUGAAGGGGGAUAAUAGCUUAAGUAUGUCCCUCCACUAGAAAGGGGCUCCCGAUAUUGACACUGGUAGUUGAUCAUUGGAAUAAUAUUUCUGCCAAAUAAGUUUCAACCAAGAUAUAUCUCUAUUGUAGAACUUAUGCAAGUGCUUCAUUGGUAAGUUUUCAUUUUGUUUCUUGAGAUCAAGUACCCCUAAACCCCCCUCAUCGUUGGUAAAUAGACCAUAGGCCAAGCAACUUAUUUAGGUGACUUUUUUGUUAUUGAUGUCAUUGCCACGCCAAAGGCAGUGCUUCCUAAUUUUGUCAAGUUGCUUGAUAACUAUUUUAGGAAGAAGAUAUGUGCAAAUAGUGAAGGUUGGUAGAGUAGUGAAAACUGGUAGUAAGCUCCAACCAACCUGCUUGACUUAGAAAAUUGGAUGUACUAACAAGCCUCCUUUCACAUCUAGAAACUAAGGGCCAGAAGUCCACCACCGAGGGUUUUGUCAAACUCAAUGGGAGCUCAAGAUAAAUGAAGGGCAGACUUCCUUUAAAACACUGAAAUGUAUUAACCAAAAUAUAGAACCAGUCAUCAGAUACAUCAAUAGGGACCAUCAUAGAUUUUGUAAAGUUGACCUUAAGACCUGUAAAUUCUGUAAAGGAAUUCAAUAAAAUCUUGAGAAAGAACAAUUGUCUAGCACAACCUUGCAUAAAAAUUAGGGUAUCAUUAGCAUAGUAAGUCUGGACAAUGAUUGAGUGACAGUGGAAGAGCAAGAAGGCCCUAAUCUUUGGCAGCAUUCAAAUGGACCGUAACAAAUCAGCUGUCAGCACAAACAAAAGUGGUGGCAGAGGGUCACCGUGCCUUACCCCACGCUUGCAAUGAAAAACCUUGAAAGGGACACCUAGGAUAUAUAUUUAUUACUAUAUACUACUACUGAAUGCAAAGAUAACAAGGACGUCAAGAAUCUGAAUGCUUACUGGAAAUGAUUGUGGCAAGACUGGCACUGCACCGCAACCGGAGCUCUUAGUUGUUGCUCUGACAAGAGGUUAAGAGUCUGGCUCAUAAACUUUUGAUACUCAUUAGUGACACAACCUGGGUGAUAGAUAAAAUGCCCGUCACUUUUGAAUGUAGCACCAACCUGUCUAGUAUCUGUUCAUGACCCGCCGGUGAAGACGAUGCCAACCGUCCGUCUCCAGUGCCAACCGGUCAAGCGUAACAAACUGAAGUGUGUACUGUGUACGCACUCCAUGAUAAAUGCAGGCUCCUCAGUCGGGACAGUCAGCAAACAGAACUCACUGCUGCAAUCCUAGCGAAAAAUAAUUAGUGGGCGAGUUCUCAUUUUCCUCAUUGCCAGGCGGAAGAGGAGGUGAUCGGCAAUGUCAGCGGGUGCCAGGAAGAAGACGGCGUGCGUGACCGGAGGUAACGGGUACAUCGCCUCGGUGCUCAUCAAGAUGCUGCUGGAGAAAGGGUACGCCGUGAAGACGACGGUCAGGAACCCCGGUUCGUUCAGUUCCUCACUAAUUUCCACACUUCAGCCUGAACACUUGAACUUGAAUUUCUUGUGAUCCCAUCCCAUGACACUUGAACUUGAAUUUCUUGUGAUCCCAUCCCAUGACUCCAUGACAAAAUGGGAUAGGAAUUGUACGUUGACAGUGGCUGGUUUAGGCUCUGAUUCUGAACGUGUUGUGCAUUGUGAUUCUGAAUAAUCCCAGAUGACAUGGAGAAGAGCUCCCACCUCAGGGACCUGCAGGCGCUUGGCCCCCUGGAAGUCCUCGGCGCCGACCUGGACAAAGAAGGCAGUUUCGACGACGCCGUCGCCGGCUGCGACUACGCCUUCCUCGUCGCCGCUCCA